RNAcentral lists this ribosomal RNA (624 nucleotides) under uncultured bacterium. RNAcentral describes it as "bacterial SSU rRNA". It matches the Rfam family "Bacterial small subunit ribosomal RNA", at positions 79 to 698 of the family's 1533-position model. The record is from RNAcentral.
CUUGCUUCUCUUGAGAGCGGCGGACGGGUGAGUAAUGCCUAGGAAUCUGCCUGGUAGUGGGGGAUAACGUUCGGAAACGGACGCUAAUACCGCAUACGUCCUACGGGAGAAAGCAGGGGACCUUCGGGCCUUGCGCUAUCAGAUGAGCCUAGGUCGGAUUAGCUAGUUGGUGGGGUAAUGGCUCACCAAGGCGACGAUCCGUAACUGGUCUGAGAGGAUGAUCAGUCACACUGGAACUGAGACACGGUCCAGACUCCUACGGGAGGCAGCAGUGGGGAAUAUUGGACAAUGGGCGAAAGCCUGAUCCAGCCAUGCCGCGUGUGUGAAGAAGGUCUUCGGAUUGUAAAGCACUUUAAGUUGGGAGGAAGGGUUGUAGAUUAAUACUCUGCAAUUUUGACGUUACCGACAGAAUAAGCACCGGCUAACUCUGUGCCAGCAGCCGCGGUAAUACAGAGGGUGCAAGCGUUAAUCGGAAUUACUGGGCGUAAAGCGCGCGUAGGUGGUUUGUUAAGUUGGAUGUGAAAUCCCCGGGCUCAACCUGGGAACUGCAUUCAAAACUGACUGACUAGAGUAUGGUAGAGGGUGGUGGAAUUUCCCUGUGUAGCGGUGAAAUGCGUAAAUAUA